This is a long non-coding RNA of Rhinolophus ferrumequinum (greater horseshoe bat), 835 nucleotides long. RefSeq lists it as uncharacterized. The transcript has 4 exons. NCBI's taxonomy places the organism in Eukaryota, Metazoa, Chordata, Mammalia, Chiroptera, Rhinolophidae. The record is from RefSeq and is a predicted model, not a curated record.
CAAUGGGGACUCGCGGGGGGGACCGCAGUCCACCAAUCGGAGCUGUCCAGGUGCGGUGCCCGAUGCCCGAAGCGUGGCUCCUUCCGAUUGGUCAUCCAUAGCUGCUACUCUCCAAUCAAAGGGCUCCGCGGGCCCCUUUCACGCGGGACCGCCCCUUUGCCUGGGAAGCUUUGGCCUCUUUGGGAAACCGUCCAAUUAACGUCAGCCCAGAACACAUCCCUCUUUUUGGAGAGGUCACAGCGAAACCACUUCCGGAUCCUAGAGAGCGUUUAUUCCGUGACCAGGGGAAACGGUAGCCAUGGCAACGCGUUCUUCAUCUUUCCUCUGACUACACGUGGAGUCACGUUGGGAGGAUUCCAGUGCGAAUUUUCUCAAUGAACAAAUGAAAGCUGCUGUAUGACACUUAACUCACUUGAUGUCAUCAUCAGCGUGGGACCAUUUCAAGAUCUGAACCCAGGUCCUUCUGACUCCAAAAUCCCUGCUCGUUCUCCUUCACCCUGACUACUCAGAAGAAUGAAUUCUCUUCCAGCUUCCAAGUCUAUUUUGCUCUUGGGAAGUCCACUCUGAUUGCCGACUGGGUGAAUCACUUCAGAAGAAACAAAUAGCUGAGCAUGUUGGUCAUUCAUUUUGUGGGCAGCACCUGUGAAAGCAUGACAUCAUGUCCGUGAUACAGUCCUUCAUCACUGAAUUACAGUAUAAAAACUAUGUGCUGGAAUGCAGGCUUUCGGAGGUUACUGCCACAGACAAACGCCAAUUAAUGUUCUUCACUGGAAGAUUUUUGAAGCUUAUGGGCAAGACCAAUGAAACUGAAGAGUUGUUCUUGAGUGUUGAGAAC